Molecule: long non-coding RNA, 5835 nt
Filed under: Brachypodium distachyon (stiff brome)
Lineage: Eukaryota; Viridiplantae; Streptophyta; Magnoliopsida; Poales; Poaceae
Description: long non-coding RNA (BDIS_LNC003990)
Source: RNAcentral
UUCACAAUCAACUUUUUAAACUGGUUACUGAAAGGAGGAGGAUGUUUUCCCCUACGGACUUAUGUGUAAUUUUAUUUUUCUUUAAAAGGAGUCAAUGAGUCACAUACGAGUUUUUUUUCUUUUUGAAACUAUGAGUCACAUACGAGUUGGUCACUUGGUUGGAUGGAUAUAUGGCAUGGCCUUCUCGCAAAAAAGUACUGUGCGUAUAUUUUUAAGUUUGAAACUACUUCAAGAAAUACAAUUUUAAAUAUAAGAUAAGAGGAGGGUGGAAAUCCAUUCAAAAGAGGUAUAAGUACGUAUUUACAAACUGAUUACUACAUAAAAACACUCUCCCCGCAAAAAGAAAGGGCUCUGUCUAUUAGCCAGGCACCUGCUUUUUGAUAACAGUCGCCUGGUUUUGUGUAUGAAAACAGUCGCCUGGUAAUACAUAAAAAAAACAGUCACAUUUCUAUGAGCCGCCCAACAAAUAUCUAACGAAGGAAAAAUUUGAAUAUAUGAAUACCUUCUGACUUUUGGCGCCCAACAUCAAAUUAGACUUUUGGCGCCCAAAAGCAAUAAAAUCAAUAUAGGUUCUGACGCCAAAAACCAAGGAAAGGAAUACCUGAAUACGCACAUACAAGACACACACCAUUACUCCGUUACUCCACAUCCAACAACCUUCAUGGCUUGCAAUUGCAGAAGUAAAACAUAGUGUUUGAUCUUGCAAUUGCACCUUCGCAGGCUUUCAAUUGCAGAAGUACAAAUGUAUUGCGAUUGAAAUCAUAAUUCAGUACAAAUUUGAUGUGAAAAAACACCACAACUAACCCUCUGCUAGACCUGUUCCAGCAAAUCAGAUGCAACACAACAGUACGGAUUGAAAAAGCUAAGCACAAUACCCUAUUAUAUUAGACAAGAUCGAAAUUGCAAAUUUAUUUUGAAAGGAACCCUAUCUACUCAGCAUAUCAGAUGCAGAACCUCUAUUCGGCUACCCUAAAUUGCUAAUCAUAACAAAAAAAUUAUUCAGAAACUUAUCUUCUUUCAAAAUUAAUCUCUUGGCCUGCUUACACAUUGUUUGUCCUGCUGCUACAACAGUAGAAAAGCAUAGUGAAUGUAUGAUCUGGCGUUUAAUAAUUUGAAGCUAAAAACUUAGUUAAAGAAGUGCACACAUGUACUAUGUCUUUUUGAAGAAUAAAUUUCAGAAAUGCAAAAGCAGAAGCAGCUGCAAAUUUAGAUACAUAAAACAAAAAAAGGGAACAAAAUGAGUUGGAAAUUAUGCUGCACACGUGGCCCAAUAGUUUAUAAUCAACAUGGACCAAAUUCAAUAUAAAAGGCAUCGCGAUGUAAACAAAUUGCAUACUUGAAGAAAAACAAGUGCAAUUGUGAUUGGCAAAUAUUAUAAUUACAAUAUAUAGUAGAGAUGCUACGAUUAGUUUGGAUGGCAGUGCGAUUUGAACAGCUAUAAAAAUGAAUCUACAGAGACCACUAUAUUGGUAGCUAAAACAAACACCUAUAACACAAGUAAAUGAACUAGUGCAAGCAUUUCGCUAGCAUCAACUCACCAGAGGACCGAAACGAGACCUCACAGCGAAAGGAUGCACUGAUGCAGAUGCCCUUGCCCUUCUGUCUUCACCUAGCAACAACGACCGAUUGGAAGCAAAAUCAGGGCAAAGCAUGGGCAAAAUGAACCACGAGAUCCAGAGCAACCCAGGAAAAACAACAGGGGGAGGGAUUAACUGGAAGGGAGUGAGAAAAACUCUGCCGCUGAGGACGAGAGACACCGGCCUCUGCUGCCUUCUCCCCGAAACAUCAGCCUUGAAAAUCCCUAAAAAUUCAAACAAAAAUCAUCUGGAAGAGAAGUGCAACUGAGCAAACUGACGCAACAAAUUCGGCCGGAGAAACUCAUCGCGCGCAGCGACCAACCUUGGCGCCGACGAGCACAGAUGCAAAAACAAAACAGCCCGCCUCUCCUGUCUUCUCACGAGCGAGCAGAAAUCAGAGCGGCAAAUGGUAUACUAAUUACUGCUUGAAAAUAGAAUGGAACUAAACAGAUUUAAGAUAUCCAAAAUUUCGCCCACUAAAACUAAUUAAAACUGAAUCUAACACAAGAUUCUAAACUGAAAUUUGAACUACUGACUAACCGAUACUACUGUAUUAUUUGAACUACACUGAACCUGCACUGAAACAGUUGACUAAAAUAUAUAAACAAUACAACAAAUAUUAAACUAAAAUUUAUAGCUAAAUGAUCACUGAACCUGCACUGAACUUGAUUGGAAAACACCGAAUAAAGAAAGACUCCAUGCAUAGUUCUUUUCCCAUGCAGUCAGAAUGACAAAGAAUCUGAAACUUAUAACUCAACUUAACUGCAUAUUAAAGUUCUUCACUAAUAUACACACAAAUAAAGUAUGACACAAGCCUUCAAAAUUUAUAGCUAAAAUGCACAUAGACUGAAGAACAAAAAGGCACUUGAAUUUUCAGUUCCAAUAUCUGAUUCUAGCCAAAGUGACAAAUCUGAAGAACACUAUAUCUCUGAAUCUCACUGGAAUAGAGAUAAAAUUACAAUAACCAAAUAGAGUUAGGCAAUUGAGUUGUGCUGCUUAUAAAUUGCACUAUAAUGGAUGUGCACAAAUCAGAAAUGAAAUGAAUUGAGAAAAGAAAUAUUAUCUGUCUCCAUCCUGACCUAGCAAAGUGUGUGUGAAGCUAUAAAUCUGCAAUGAUAAAUGCAAAAAAGAGAAGAAUUAAAGAUUGCGAUGUGCAAUUGCGCUUAGCCCCAAUCUAAGUUGCACUAAUAUAGGUGUGUCAAAAAAAUCAGAGAAAGAAAAGAUAUAUUUGGUUAAUUACACUUGCUUGGAACAAAAAUUGCAGAUCUAGAAAAAUGUGCAAAUGCAGGUAAACAUUGGUGCAAAAAAAUUGAGAUUAAAGAUUGCGAUGUGCAAUUGCGUUUAGCCCCAAUCUGAGUUGCACUAUAUAGGUGGGUCAAAAAAAAAUCAGAGAAAGAAAACAAAGUUUGGUGGAUCACACAUGCUUGGAACAAAAAUUGCAGCUCUAGAAAAUGUGCAAAUACAAAUAAGCUUUGGUGCAAAUAAACUUUGAAUACAACUAUUUGAAACAAAAUUUGCAGCUCUAGAAAAUGUGCAAAUGUCACUGGAGAACCCUGGCCAUUGGAGGAAUGUAUCUAGACCUAGAGAAAAUCAUUGGAGAAGAGGAAGGGGAAGGGAAUGGAGAAGAAACCCGCACGGGACAAAUGCUACUUUCUCCUUUCGUCCAGCUAACAAAAAAGGACGGGACAAAACAAGCCAGCUGGCACCAGGCCACAAAGACAGGCACGCGGAGACAUCAAAAUUACAGAACACCUGUGACCAAAUAUCCAAGCAACAUAGAACGGUGCACAUAAAUACAAAAAUAGUCAAUAAAAUUCAGAUAAUACCUUCUUGUUUCAAAUGAAACUUGAUAUGUUCUUACUCCUAAGUUGGUUAGCUGCUGGAACAACAAAACAAAGACAAAAAAAACUUUGCCAUCCCUUACUGAUUGUGAUCUCAAAUUUAAACAUAAAAAGGUGCAUACUGGUGCUGCCUCCUUUGAUAUUAAGAGUGCAGCAAUUGCAAAUGAUAGUUACUCCAGUGUAAUUGCAACUAGAAACUAACAGAAAGGUAGCAAAAGAACUUUAAUUAUCAAUUGCAAACUUGUAGGCUUGGGAUUGCAGAAGAUAAGGUGCGUAAUUAGAAUUCCAAGUAUGUCUCAGAAAAGAUGGUCCCUGUUCCAAAUUGAGUUCGGCAAUCGGGAAUUUACAAAAAAAAAAAACUAAAAGUGUUAUGUCUAGUCGAAAUCCAGUUUUGCAAAUUACAAACAGAGAAUGCAUAGUCCCAGUGUUUAGAAAGUUUAGAAAGAAUGAUAAUUGGCAACUUAAACUAAAUGAAAAUAACACAGAUUCAAAUAAACCCGAAUUAAUUGUUUGGGAUUGCAAUGUUUAUCAAAUGCAAUUGGGUUUGAUAAGACAGCAAACUGCACAAAAAUAGAGGUACAUAUAUGUGAAAAUUCAAGGUGAAACGGGUGCAAUUGCAUUUUAAAAAUAUGCUGAAAUACACAUAUAAAGGUACAUGCAAAUUCAACAUAAAUUCACAGUGUAUGAAGCAAAAUCAAGUAUGUAACAGGUGCGAUUCCGUUUGUCUGUGCGUGUGACAAGACCCUAGAUUGCAUAUAUUAAUCUACAUGCAAUUCGGUAAAAAAAGAACAAAACAACGAAAAAAGGACACGACAAGACCCCUGGUUCACGUUCUGUUCGGUAAAUUAAAUCCCCCCUUGCAGGAACCUGCUUCUCUGCCUGGAGAUUACUCGUACAUAAAAAAAGUGGAUUAAUUAAGACUUGACUUGAGAGUCUUAUAGAAGCAGGAGGCUGCAUAUCCGAGUAUGACAAGAGCUGCAAAAAAUCAGAAGGUUGCGAAGGGGCACAAUACAGAGGGCCAGAAAUUCCAAUGACCUUGAUAAUAAAAAUAGCAUUCCUAUAUGCAUCAGAGAGUAGACAGAGCAGGGAAAAAGUAUAGGUACCUCUUCAAAUGAUCAUUCGAAUUAGUGUCUGGAUUAACAAGGCAUUAUGAUCUCAGAUACACUGUAUGACAGAACUGCAGAAAAUGGCGUCAGGGGACACAUCAUAAAAGAUGAACAAAUCGAACAAAACAUCACACACAGCGUGAGGAUAGGCAAAAUCCCUGAGCAAGCAACAACUCUCCAUCCGAGAGACCACAACCAACAUGCAAAAAUAACUCCAGUUGAAGGCUAAUUUCAGACUCAGCCAAUCCAAAAAUCACUACAGCAGUAAGGAUUUUGUUGUGUUGAACAUGCAAAACACUAGGUUGUCUGCAUGGUAGGGGGGCUACAACUAAUGUUUCUUACAACUAACAUUGCAAAACAGUGCUUAUGGCAUCAGGGGACAAAAUGAAAGCAUCAAUAAAACCAAAUCAUCAUCAUACAGAUCGCAUAUCCGUGCCCUCAACAUAUACAACAUAAGCUAAGAAAAAACAGCAUCUCCCUGUGAAAUUGCAGGCUAUUUCGUACUAAAUCAACCAAAAAUCACUACAGCACGCGUGUCUGGCUCCUCCAGCCAAAUCCGGGAGAAAUAGAACCGAGAAACUAACAUCUACCAGAGAGCAAAACCAAAUCCACGGACAAGGAUGCACACUUCUGUUCCUCUCUUCGCCUAUAAAAAUUGAACAAAAAGCAUCAGCCAACAAAUCACCACCCAAUCACCACAGCUAUGGGGCUGCGGCAAAAAUCAGCACCAAAAGGGGUAUCAGCAACCACCAGCGCGCAAGCAUGAAACGCCGACGAGCAAAAAUACCGCCCAAACAAGCCGACGAGAGAAUCACACCACGUCUACCCCUAACUGCAAUCGACUGCAGUACGCAACCCCCUCACACAAAAAUGGCCGUCCGGAAAACCCAAGCAGCAAGAGCACGAGGCGCAAUAGGCUGACCAAAAGCUCCCCGCGCGGACAGGCCAAAUCUCGCCUCCGACGAGACCAGAUCGAACCCCAACACGCCCAUUUCACUGCUCCAGUUCGCAAAAAAGCAACAGGACGCAUGGAUGCGGCUAAACAGAGGCGGAGCAGCUCGGAUAGAGAGGGCAGAGAUGAAGUUAGAGCUCACCCCGGCGGCAGCGGCGCGAGCGAACCAUCAGCCGGCGACGAGGAAGACGAAAUCGCCUCCAGCCCCCUCCCCCACCUUUUCUCCCUCGAGGAACCGGACAGCAGGUCGGAGCCUGGGAGAGAAAGAACGAAAAGAAAAGAGAAGACCAGAAACACGGAUCGCAAAGCAAUCGAACGGCCAGCGUCAUCGCCUGCUUUCAAACCAAAAAACAGUCGCC